Belonocnema kinseyi is the source of this 316-nucleotide long non-coding RNA. RefSeq lists it as uncharacterized. Lineage: Eukaryota; Metazoa; Arthropoda; Insecta; Hymenoptera; Cynipidae. The transcript is spliced from 3 exons. The record is from RefSeq and is a predicted model, not a curated record.
AAUUUCUUAUUAUUUCCUUAAUAAUAUAUUAAUCCAGCUGCAAGUUAGCUGACAAAGGAGAGGCAUAAAAUGUACCAAAUCUUUAUUAAGUUAUUAAAUAAGUAGUACGUACAGAUUUGUCAAAAAGAGCAGAAGUUUAUUUGAUGCACUAGUUAUAAUCGAUUUCACCAGCAAGUGGAAUAAUUCGGACAGAGACGGACGUUUGUGGUCAGCCCUAGUUGUUUAUGCAGUGGUGCGGCUGAAUGUGAUCCUUACAGAAGGACCAGAUGCGCGCGAUAGACGCGAUAUUCUAAUUGUAAAUACUAACGACUAUCAU